AGUGAACGCUGGCGGUAGACCUAACACAUGCAAGUCGAACGGCAGCACAGUAAGAGCUUGCUCUUACGGGUGGCGAGUGGCGGACGGGUAAGGAAUACAUCGGAAUCUACUUUUUCGUGGGGGAUAACGUAGGGAAACUUACGCUAAUACCGCAUACGACCUACGGGUGAAAGCAGGGGAUCUUCGGACCUUGCGCGAUUGAAUGAGCCGAUGUCGGAUUAGCUAGUUGGCGGGGUAAAGGCCCACCAAGGCGACGAUCCGUAGCUGGUCUGAGAGGAUGAUCAGCCACACUGGAACUGAGACACGGUCCAGACUCCUACGGGAGGCAGCAGUGGGGAAUAUUGGACAAAGGGCGCAAGCCUGAUCCAGCCAUACCGCGUGGGUGAAGAAGGCCUUCGGGUUGUAAAGCCCUUUUGUUGGGAAAGAAAAGCAGCAGGUUAAUACCCCGCUGUUCUGACGGUACCCAAAGAAUAAGCACCGGCUAACUUCGUG
This 492-nucleotide ribosomal RNA is filed under the name uncultured bacterium. Its description in RNAcentral is "partial 16S ribosomal RNA". It matches the Rfam family "Bacterial small subunit ribosomal RNA", at positions 29 to 507 of the family's 1533-position model. The record is from RNAcentral.